Molecule: ribosomal RNA, 665 nt
Filed under: uncultured bacterium
Lineage: Bacteria
Description: bacterial SSU rRNA
Rfam family: Bacterial small subunit ribosomal RNA
Source: RNAcentral
CGGACGGGUGAGUAACGCGUGAGAAUCUGCCUUUAGGUCCGGGACAACCACUGGAAACGGUGGCUAAUACCGGAUGUGCCGCAACGUGAAAGGGGAAACCCGCCUGAAGAUGAGCUCGCGUCUGAUUAGCUAGUUGGUGAGGUAAAGGCUCACCAAGGCGACGAUCAGUAGCUGGUCUGAGAGGAUGACCAGCCACACUGGGACUGAGACACGGCCCAGACUCCUACGGGAGGCAGCAGUGGGGAAUUUUCCGCAAUGGGCGAAAGCCUGACGGAGCAAGACCGCGUGAGGGAAGAAGGCUCUUGGGUCGUAAACCUCUUUUGUCAGGGAAGAACACAAUGACGGUACCUGACGAAUCAGCCUCGGCUAACUCCGUGCCAGCAGCCGCGGUAAUACGGAGGAGGCAAGCGUUAUCCGGAAUUAUUGGGCGUAAAGCGUCCGUAGGUGGCUAGUCAAGUCUGCGGUCAAAGACUGGGGCUUAACCCUGGAAAGGCCGUGGAAACUGACGAGCUAGAGUGCAGUAGGGGUAGAGGGAAUUCCCGGUGUAGCGGUGAAAUGCGUAGAGCUCGGGAAGAACAUCGGUGGCGAAAGCACUCUACUGGACUGCAACUGACACUCAGGGACGAAAGCUAGGGGAGCGAAUGGGAUUAGAUACCCCAGUAGUC